CCAAUAGCGUAUAUUAAAGUUGUUGCAGUUAAAAAGCUCGUAGUUGAAUUUCGGGGUUAGUAAGCUGGUCGUGCCACUGGUAUGUACUGGCUUUACUGAUUCCUCCUUCUUGUAGAACCGUAAUGCCAUUAAGUUGGUGUUGCGGGGAAACAGGACUGUUACUUCGAAAAAAUUAGAGUGUUUAAAGCAAGCUAACGCUUGAAUACAUUAGCAUGGAAUAAUGAAAUAGGACGUUCGAUCCUAUUUUGUUGGUUUCUAGGAUUGACGUAAUGAUUAAUAGGGAUAGUUGGGGGCAUUAGUAUUCAAUUGUCAGAGGUGAAAUUCUUGGAUUUAUUGAAGACUAACUACUGCGAAAGCAUUUGCCAAGGAUGUUUUCAUUAAUCAAGAACGAAAGUUAGGGGAUCGAAGACGAUCAGAUACCGUCGUAGUCUUAACCAUAAACUAUGCCGACUAGGGAUCGGAUGAUGUUAAUUUUAUAAUGACUCAUUCGGCGCCUUACG
Molecule: ribosomal RNA, 500 nt
Filed under: uncultured Glomeromycotina
Lineage: Eukaryota; Fungi; Glomeromycota
Description: partial small subunit ribosomal RNA
Rfam family: Eukaryotic small subunit ribosomal RNA
Source: RNAcentral